AUGCCCUGCAAGGACCGUACUAGCC
Molecule: unclassified non-coding RNA, 25 nt
Filed under: Mus musculus (house mouse)
Lineage: Eukaryota; Metazoa; Chordata; Mammalia; Rodentia; Muridae
Description: oocyte_clustered_small_RNA4436
Source: RNAcentral